This 232-nucleotide ribosomal RNA is filed under the name uncultured bacterium. RNAcentral's name for it is "partial 16S ribosomal RNA". It matches the Rfam family "Bacterial small subunit ribosomal RNA", at positions 99 to 334 of the family's 1533-position model. The record is from RNAcentral.
CGGACGGGUGAGUAAUGUCUGGGAAACUGCCUGAUGGAGGGGGAUAACUACUGGAAACGGUAGCUAAUACCGCAUAACGUCGCAAGACCAAAGAGGGGGACCUUCGGGCCUCUUGCCAUCGGAUGUGCCCAGAUGGGAUUAGCUAGUAGGUGGGGUAACGGCUCACCUAGGCGACGAUCCCUAGCUGGUCUGAGAGGAUGACCAGCCACACUGGAACUGAGACACGGCCCAG